RNAcentral lists this ribosomal RNA (253 nucleotides) under uncultured bacterium. Its description in RNAcentral is "partial 16S ribosomal RNA". It matches the Rfam family "Bacterial small subunit ribosomal RNA", at positions 524 to 776 of the family's 1533-position model. The record is from RNAcentral.
GACGAACCGAGCGAACGUUAUUCGGAAUCACUGGGCUUAAAGGGCGCGUAGGCGGGCGGCCGAGUCCGGGGUGAAAGCCCCCAGCUCAACUGGGGAAGUGCCUCGGAUACUGGUCGCCUCGAGGGAGAUAGGGGCGUGCGGAACUUCCGGUGGAGCGGUGAAAUGCGUAGAUAUCGGAAGGAACACCGGUGGCGAAAGCGGCGCGCUGGAUCUCUUCUGACGCUGAGGCGCGAAAGCCAGGGGAGCGAACGGG